Molecule: long non-coding RNA, 2058 nt
Filed under: Sus scrofa (pig)
Lineage: Eukaryota; Metazoa; Chordata; Mammalia; Artiodactyla; Suidae
Description: lncRNA (ENSSSCG00050022566.1)
Source: RNAcentral
GAGUGUCUGGGCUCAGGCUACCAUGAUUCCAGGUCCAGCCCAACACAGGGAAAAUGGAUCAUUGAAAGUGAAGAAAGCCACUGCUGAGAAAGAAUUUCAGAUUCCAAGUAGAGCCUGGAACAGACUUGAAGACUCUAGAAUGGAAGAUCUGAGGGCCAACAGAUGGCCGGAGAAGUGGGAAGAAGCUGCUGGAGCAGGAGGGAGCACGCGGAACUCGAAGCCAGACGCUCAGAAAUCCCAGCUCUGCCAUUGAUUUGCAGUUUGACCUUGAAUACCAUGGUCCUCCCGGAAGCUCCGUUUCCCAACCCUUGAAAAAAACCCCUAUUCCAGAGGGGCUGUGGAGCUCUCCCCCAGGAAACGCUGGGCAGGUAGCAAGUGUUCAGGGAAUUGUAGGGUUUCCCCCUGUCUUUCUCUCCGCCUGGGGGUAGGAUGCAGGGAAAGGAGGGAGACGUCCAUCCUGUUGCAAGGAGCCUGAUGAAACGUGAGCGAAGGCUUAUCUCCUGAAUCACUGCUGUAAUUAAUAGAAUUAAAGCUCUGCAGACCAGCUCCGUUCCACACACAAUUCAGAAUGAAUGAGUCCUCCUGGUUGAGUUUACUCUCAUAAAUUGUUUCAGAGGUUUAUUUGCCCAGAGCAGUGGGUCAUCCAGAGGAACUUCCUGUCCUGCCAUGUGGCAGAUAUUUCACUGACACACAGACAUUUGAAUGGGACUUUUGCGCUGCACAUUUCCUUGUGAUCCUUAUAAUUCUUCUGUUUAGGAGAUCCCAUGGCACUCAGCGGUAACAAACCCGACCAGUAUCCAUGAGAUGCGGGUUCGAUCCCUGGACUCGCUCCGUGGGUUAGAGGAUCCCGCGUUGCUGUGGCUGUGGUAUAGGCUGCCAUCUGCAGCUCUGAUUUUGACCCCUUGCCUGCGUGGGAACGUCCGUGAGCUGCAGGUGUGGCCAUAAAAAACAACAACAACUAGAAAACCAACUUCUGUUUAUGGGCUAAUUGAAGAGGUGCCGCCAUGCUCCACUCUGCCCAGAGGAACUAAGUGGAUUCACGUAAAGCCCGGACAGGUUGGGAAAUUAAAGGAGUCUGAUUAGGGCGAGGUUUUCCUACCCAUUUCCUGGCUUUGGGUCAUGUCACACCCGCAACGGGUGAUGUUCAUUCUUGCAUCUGCGGCAUCCCUCCGUGCCCCCACGUGUCCCAUUUCUGGGACACCCCUUGGCUACCCGUUGUUUUCCAGUUCUCACUCUGUACUCCCAGGAAAAACAAUCAAAUCAAAUCACUCCAUCAUUAAAAAACCAGUAAGUCUUCAAGCAAUAUUCCUUCUGCCACGAUUUGCAUUUUCAGAGGAAAGAACGCUCUUACACUUGAAGGAUAAAAUUUCUCUGGUAGAAUUUCAGGCAUUCUGAACCAGCUUUUGGUCCCACAAGCCUCUUAGAGAAGGGCUUUGGCAUUCUGAUAUUUCUCCAGCAUUUUCUAUGUGCCAGACAAUAGGGGAAUUUUUUUUUUUUUAAUUGAGGUAUGGUUGAUUUACAAAGUUGUGUUAAUUUCUGCUCUGUAGCAAAGUGAUUCAGUUAUACAUAUACAAACAUUCUUUUUUACGUUAUUUUUCACUACAGUUUAUCACAGAUUAUUGACUAUAGUUCACUGUGCUAUGUAGUAGGAUCUUAUUGUUUAUCUGUUCUAUAUGAGUUUGCAUCCACUAAUCCCAUUGGGUAUCUUUUUAAAAGCUUGAUUGCUUUUGUAAUGAUAAACGUGAUGAUGAUAAUGUUGAUAAAAAUAUAAUAGCCCACGUUAAAUAAAAAAGUGAGGCACUCCUGUUGUGGCUCAGCAGGUUGUGAACCCGACGAGUAUCCAUGAGGCUGCAGGUUCGACCCCUGACCUCGAUCAGUAGGUUAAGGAUCUGGCAUUGCCUCAAGCUGUGGUGUAGGUUGCAGAUGCGGCUCAGAUCUGGUGUUGCCAUAGCUGUGGCAUAGGCUGGUGGCUGCAGCUUCAAUUAGACCCCUCUCCUGGGAACUUCCAUAUGCUGCAAGUGCAGCCCUAAAAAGCAAAAGCAAAAGGAAAGAAAGAAA